RNAcentral lists this transfer RNA (59 nucleotides) under Macrogyropus costalimai. RNAcentral describes it as "tRNA-Cys". Lineage: Eukaryota; Metazoa; Arthropoda; Insecta; Psocodea; Gyropidae. The record is from RNAcentral.
GUGUAAAAAAUGAUAAUAACUUUUUUAUUUCUUUUUAGUAUAAUUUUAGUCUUUUUUUU